CUCCGACUCCUCGCAUGGGGUGUCGGGAAAGAUUUCAUCGGUAUGGGAUGGGGUCGCGUCCUAUCAGGUAGUCGGCGGGGUAACGGCCCACCGAGCCUACGACGGGUAGCCGGUCUGAGAGGGCGACCGGCCACAUUGGGACUGAGAUACGGCCCAGACUCCUACGGGAGGCAGCAGUGGGGAAUAUUGCACAAUGGGCGCAAGCCUGAUGCAGCGACGCCGCGUGCGGGAUGACGGCCUUCGGGUUGUAAACCGCUUUUGAUCGGGAGCAAGCCUUCGGGUGAGUGUACCUUUCGAAUAAGCACCGGCUAACUACGUGCCAGCAGCCGCGGUAAUACGUAGGGUGCAAGCGUUAUCCGGAAUUAUUGGGCGUAAAGGGCUCGUAGGCGGUUCGUCGCGUCCGGUGUGAAAGUCCAUCGCUUAACGGUGGAUCUGCGCCGGGUACGGGCGGG
Molecule: ribosomal RNA, 452 nt
Filed under: uncultured Bifidobacterium sp.
Lineage: Bacteria; Bacillati; Actinomycetota; Actinomycetes; Bifidobacteriales; Bifidobacteriaceae
Description: bacterial SSU rRNA
Rfam family: Bacterial small subunit ribosomal RNA
Source: RNAcentral